Molecule: ribosomal RNA, 497 nt
Filed under: uncultured bacterium
Lineage: Bacteria
Description: partial 16S ribosomal RNA
Rfam family: Bacterial small subunit ribosomal RNA
Source: RNAcentral
GAUGAACGCUGGCGGCGUGCCUAAUACAUGCAAGUCGAGCGAACGGACGAGAAGCUUGCUUCUCUGAUGUUAGCGGCGGACGGGUGAGUAACACGUGGAUAACCUACCUAUAAGACUGGGAUAACUUCGGGAAACCGGAUCUAAUACCGGAUAAUAUUUUGAACCGCAUGGUUCAAAAGUGAAAGACGGUCUUGCUGUCACUUAUAGAUGUAUCCGCGCUGCAUUAGCUAGUUGGUAAGGUAACGGCUUACCAAGGCAACGAUGCAUAGCCGACCUGAGAGGGUGAUCGGCCACACUGGAACUGAGACACGGUCCAGACUCCUACGGGAGGCAGCAGUAGGGAAUCUUCCGCAAUGGGCGAAAGCCUGACGGAGCAACGCCGCGUGAGUGAUGAAGGUCUUCGGAUCGUAAAACUCUGUUAUUAGGGAAGAACAUAUGUGUAAGUAACUGUGCACAUCUUGACGGUACCUAAUCAGAAAGCCACGGCUAACUACGUG